GACAGGAAGGGGUCUUUGUGAACUGACACACUUUGUAGUUUGUCAGGGACAGAAAGAGCUAGACCUAGAGCUCUGUAUACUUUGUCCACUUACUGCUAAAAUAAACUAAGAGUGUGAGACCGAAUAUUGAAAGAACACGCAGGACUCUGCUCACACAUAGGGGAAAGUAAGCUGGUAGAUUGAGCCAAAGUCCAAUAAUUUGGUGACCCUGAUGUAAUGAAGACGGAGAAGUGACGGAAAAGAGAGAAAAAUAGAAACAAUGGACAACUGACGUCUGAUGACAACAACAAGCGGCGCCACAUAAAAAGCUUUCUCCCAACAGGUUGGAUCGGAAAAGGGGGACAUACAGAGUUAGGCGCCAUCCACCAGACUGGGUCCUGCUGAAGGUGAUCAAACGGAAAUGGUCGGAGCCACGGUAGACAGGACCUUACAAGGUGGUGGAAAGGACAUCUCAUGUGGUCCGACUACAAGGGAAAGGAGACACUUGGUACCAUUGGAGCCAGCGUGCAGCCACAGAACCGCCAACGAGAACUCUACAACAACUGAGAACAGAAAAAGAAUAGAAGGGUCUUAAACUUUCAACUUUUGCAGGAAGAGGGUUCUGGAAAAAAGGGGGAGGGUUCUCAAGAUCUCCAAGGAAAGUUUUUUUUGGAGAGCAUAAGUGAGGACAGGACCAGGAUACAAGAAGAAUUUGUUUAAAACAUAUAGGAAAGUUGUGUAAAGGAUAUAAUGUCUAUCUCUGUAAGCAGCCCACAUUACCCCAGGCUGUUGGGGUUGGGAGUUUUUGCUAUUAUUUGAUGUAUGUGUCAUGCCGCUGUUAAUAGUGGUAUCAACCGCGAGGGACAAGCACACAGACGAGGGAGAAAGUCCCAGAAAUAAAAGGUCAACGGGACAAGAGGCAGACAAAUGUUUAAGGGAGGCGGGGAGCUGGGUGCACAUUAGACAUGACAAAAAGGGUGGGACAACAUACCAGUUUGACUUAUGUGAAGUAAUUAACUGUGGCCAAGAUGCAGGAAGCUGGAGGGGGUGCGAUGUAUAUCUUUGUGUGCAUUCCAAUUACUAUAGGUGGUGCCCGACGUGGAAUCAUGUACUAACAUGGACUGGGGUAAAAUGGACACCCAAGCGGCUGCCAUCCUCAGAUGAUAAAUGGAAGGUUCGAGACCAUGUGAGUCUGAUUAGGGGCAACUCAAUCAUUCCUCAGAGCUAAAAAAUCCACUCUUGUUAACCCUGACAAGAUUCGACACUAACCCUGGUCCCAAAGAGGUACAGAUUUACUGUGGGAGUGAUGACAGAAGCUUUUAUUUUGUAAUAGGUGUAGAUCAAUCUGGAGUGGAUACCCUGGGACUAGUGAAGGUAACCUUAGUGGACCCUCCCACAAACCAAAAACACAACAAACAUGGUGGUAGAACCAAGUUCAGGAGUUGUGGUAAUAGACUACAACAACCUCACGAGAGGGGACAUUAUUAAAUUAGCCACCACGUAUGGGGAUAAGAACGUACAGCUGGACUGGAUGACAGCGACCGCAACCUCAAUGAAUGAGUAAUUGCGUCGCGUGUUCCUUUGCCAGGCCAACCCUAUUUACCACCCCAGUCCCAUUGUUCCCUAAUGUAGACCCAGCAGGAUUUCACUGCAUGAUGACCCUCACCAUGCAGGCGGACCCUCCAAAUUGUACCGCCUUAAUUGCUAUUUUCCCACCUGUAAAGAAUUCCACGUUACCUCCAGUGUUUACCCCAAGGGCCAACAAUUAUACUUGUUUCGCUCGAAGAUCUAAUACAAUCUUGGGAGACAUGCCCGCUGACUGGUGUCAGGACACGAUUAAUGUAACCGGCUGGCAGAAUGCUAGCACAAUGGUUUGGGCCAGAGCUGAUCGUUUUUGGUACUGUGGAGAUAGAACACUACAGAUUAGUCUCCCUCCAGAUUGGUCUGGAACCUGUGCAAUGGUCAGGCUAGGGGUACCCUCAACACUCUUAGGAGAAAGACGACAGGAAAUAGAUCCGCAUGCACGAAUACGCAGGGAUUUGUUUGAUAUCACAUCUGGCUCAACCACGUACAUAGAUGCAAUUGGUAUUCCCCACGGCGUACCUGAUGAAUAUAAGUUGGCAGAGCGGGUAGCAGCAGGAUUUGAGAAUCUCCCAAUUGUUAGUGCUCUAUUCCCAGUCACGCAGAAUAAAAUGUCGACCGAAUUAAUUAUGUACAUCACAAUGUACUCAGGCUAGCCAACAGAACUAGAGACGCGGUGGCGGGACUCUCUGAACAACUGACAGUACAAAAUAGAAUGGCCUUAGAAAUGUUGUUAGCAGAAAAGGGAGUGUGCUCUAUGUUCGGAGGUCAAUGUUGUACGUUCAUCCCCAACAAUACAGCACCUGAUGGCAUGGUAACCAGAGCCCUGGAAGGACUAAGAACCUUGUCUGAAGAAAUGCAUGAACAUUCAGGUAUUAACAACCCUCUAGGAGGCAUUUUUGAUUCCUGGGUAGGGAAAUGGAAAGGAUUAAUUGUGUCUGUGUUUAUGUCCCUCACCGGUAUGACCAUUGUGUUUGUGUUGUGUGGAUGUUGUUGUAUCCCCUGUAUCAGAUCUUUGUUGAACAGGGCAAUUAUUACAGCAAUUGAAGGGAAGGCUCCACCACCCUACCAGAUGUCACAGAUGGAGGCGGAAACCAUGGCUCUGGCAAGAGGGAAGGACUAUGCGUCGGAGAGUGAAUGUGAUACAUAAAACUGGUUUGUUGGUCUCAUUUUCAUGAGACCAAAAGGGGGACUUGUAAAUAUAUGGCUUAGUACGAAGCGUUCAGAAGCAUUUAAAUGAUAUAUUUGUUUCAGUCACUUAUUAUACAAUGUGACGCUUAACUAUUAACUAACACAGUGGGUUGUGUAACCUUUAUUGUAUAAAAAAACUGAGUCCGAGACAGGAAGGGGUAUUACUUUGCGAACUGACACACUUUGUAGUUUGUCACGGACAGCAAGAUCUAGACCCAGAGCUCUGUAUACUUUGUCCACUUACUACUAAAAUAAAGUAAGAGUGUGAGACCGAA
Molecule: long non-coding RNA, 3026 nt
Organism: Hemiscyllium ocellatum (epaulette shark)
Lineage: Eukaryota; Metazoa; Chordata; Chondrichthyes; Orectolobiformes; Hemiscylliidae
Exons: 2
Source: RefSeq, a predicted model, not a curated record